GACGAACGCUGGCGGCGUGCCUAAUACAUGCAAGUUGAGCGAUGAAGCUUGGUGCUUGCACCAAUUUGAAGAGCAGCGAACGGGUGAGUAACGCGUGGGGAAUCUGCCUUUGAGCGGGGGACAACAUUUGGAAGCGAAUGCUAAUACCGCAUAAUAACUUUAAACAUAAGUUUUAAGUUUGAAAGAUGCAAUUGCAUCACUCAAAGAUGAUCCCGCGUUGUAUUAGCUAGUUGGUGAGGUAAAGGCUCACCAAGGCGAUGAUACAUAGCCGACCUGAGAGGGUGAUCGGCCACAUUGGGACUGAGACACGGCCCAAACUCCUACGGGAGGCAGCAGUAGGGAAUCUUCGGCAAUGGACGAAAGUCUGACCGAGCAACGCCGCGUGAGUGAAGAAGGUUUUCGGAUCGUAAAACUCUGUUGGUAGAGAAGAACGUUGGUGAGAGUGGAAAGCUCAUCAAGUGACGGUAACUACCCAGAAAGGGACGGCUAACUACGUG
Molecule: ribosomal RNA, 497 nt
Filed under: uncultured bacterium
Lineage: Bacteria
Description: partial 16S ribosomal RNA
Rfam family: Bacterial small subunit ribosomal RNA
Source: RNAcentral